CGAUGGGAAACGGGUUAAUAUUCCCGUACUUCUAGUUACUGCGAUGGGGGGACGGAGAAGGCUAGGCCAGCAAGGCGUUGGUUGUCCUUGUUUAAGGUGGUAGGCAGAGAUCUUAGGUAAAUCCGGGGUCUUAAUGCCGAGAGCUGAUGACGAGCUUUCUUUUAGAAAGCGAAGUGGUUGAUGCCAUGCUUCCAGGAAAAGCCUCUAAGCUUCAGGUAACUAGGAACCGUACCCCAAACCGACACAGGUGGUUGG
This 255-nucleotide ribosomal RNA is filed under the name Stutzerimonas stutzeri. Its description in RNAcentral is "partial 23S ribosomal RNA". It matches the Rfam family "Bacterial large subunit ribosomal RNA", at positions 1416 to 1670 of the family's 2925-position model. Lineage: Bacteria; Pseudomonadati; Pseudomonadota; Gammaproteobacteria; Pseudomonadales; Pseudomonadaceae. The record is from RNAcentral.